RNAcentral lists this unclassified non-coding RNA (250 nucleotides) under plant metagenome. RNAcentral describes it as "partial contains small subunit ribosomal RNA, internal transcribed spacer 1, and 5.8S ribosomal RNA". The record is from RNAcentral.
GUAGGUGAACCUGCGGAAGGAUCAUUACUGAAUGCCGACAGCUUUCGGGCUGCGCUUUCUCCCGGCCUUGGAAGCCGCUGAAAUAUGCGGUUCUCCUUGGUCACUCACACCUGUGCGGUUUGUCCCCCCUCGGUUUCGAGAGCUCGGCUAGAACUUUUGCGAGCCAGGACGGGACAUUCCACACCCCACAACACACUGUUCAUGUUGACUGUACCUUGUUUUAAAAAUCUCGAAUACAAAACAACUUUUA